RNAcentral lists this long non-coding RNA (379 nucleotides) under Setaria viridis. RNAcentral describes it as "long non-coding RNA (SVIR_LNC004591)". The record is from RNAcentral. Lineage: Eukaryota; Viridiplantae; Streptophyta; Magnoliopsida; Poales; Poaceae.
GAAGGGAUGUUGAUCGAUUUUCAUCGGUUUUGUUGGCUUUGUGGGAACUUCGAAUUUAAGUCUCCCUUGCUCAAAGGCUGACUGUAUUUGCUGACGGAAGACUUUGCACUCAUUGGUAUUGUGAGAUGUGGCAUUGUGCCACUUGCAGUACUUCAUCUUCUUAAGUUAUUUGGCCGAUGGGAUUGUGUGGUAGGGCGAGAGCUUGAUCUGUCCUUCCUGUAGCAGCAAGUCAAAGAUCUUAUCGGCCUUAGACGUAUCAAAGCUGAACGUCUCCGGCUCUUUCUUUCCAAAUGGCCAUGAGAUUGGCUUUUUGCCCUUGACCUAUUCUGCUAAGCCGAUUUCCGCCUCCUCUUCUGAAUCAGAUCCUCCCACGUACGCC